AACAUCGCGCACCUGCGGGAACCUGCGGAGGGAUCAUUAAAAAUUGUUCCAAACUACCGGUUUUAAGCCGGUAGCUUUCUCAACCCUUGUGAAUUGUAUGCUGUGUAAAUCUCUUGAUUGGUCUUGGAUAGUCUCGCUGUGUGUGUUAUCACACACGGUAAAAGACAAAGAUCGCUAGAGAUUUUAUUCUAAACUCCACUAAAUUAUUAUAAUUGGGUUUUUUAAAUGAUUUGUAAAAGU
Molecule: unclassified non-coding RNA, 240 nt
Filed under: soil metagenome
Description: partial contains 5.8S ribosomal RNA, internal transcribed spacer 2, and large subunit ribosomal RNA
Source: RNAcentral